GAAAAAGACUGAGCGAGCCAUCAGCAGCAGCAGCAAGAACAUUUCGCUAGCUGAACCAGUAUGCACAAGACUGAAGUAUUUGCUGCCCAAGAACCUCCGAAGUGGCAGGCGGCCACGAGUUUUCACGGCAUAAACCCAAGUAAAGAGCCCGUCUUUAAGAAGCCGUGCCAGUGUUGUCAUUUCGGAGCUACAGUGAAAACUCAACCAGCCCAGCGCCGGUGAGACACGUAAAGACGUCAGCAGGUGCAGUGGGUGACGGUACCGUGGUGCGACACCAGAGGGCGCCAUUACCAAGCUCAUCACACACAAGCAACUAAGCAGUGCAUCUACAGCAGGGGUCACCAACGCGGUGCCCGCGGGCACCAGGUCGCCCGUAAGGACCAGAUGAGUCACCCGCGGGCCUGUUCUAAAAAAAAAAAAAAUUAAAUUUUUUUUAUUUUUUUUAUUUUUUAAAUUAAAUCUACAUAGAAAAAACACAAGAUACACUUUCAAUCAGUGCAUCAACCCAAACAACCUCCCCCAUGCACACUCAUCCACACCCACUCACACAAAAGGGGUUAUUUCUUUCUGCUACCAAUAUUCUGGUUCCCACAACAUAGACAACACAUCUGCAAGGGACACAGUCCCUGAAGCACACAUGAUUGUAUAGGCUGCUGGUCCACUAACAUUUUCAUUAAUUACUAUUUUUUAUGUAUUUAUUUUUAUAUUGUUUUACUUUCUUUUUUAUCCAAGAAAAUGUUUUUUUAUUUAUUUAUCUUAUUUUAUUUUAUUUUUUAAAAAAGGGCCUUCUCUUCAACAGACCAGGUUGUCAAUGAAAUUAGAUUUGUUUAAAGGGUUUUUUAAACCAGGCCCAGUCCAGAUAAUGUCCAAGUCGGACUCAGCAACACACACCUUCAUUCAUGUAUACAGAAAAAAAUUAGGGAACACAACAGAUUGCAUAUAAUUUAUAAACAAAAUUACAUUUUCAAAAUAAGCAUUUAUGUACAGUCCAGAUUAUGUCCAGGUCACUCAAAUUAGGGAACACAACAGCAGAUAUCAUAUAAUCUAUAAACAUAAUUAUACUUUCAAAAUAAGCCUUUGAGGACUUCUCAUCUUUUUUUUAAUGUUUUUUGGCAUCAUUAUUGUUUUCAACCAUGUAACUUUCUAAAGUUAGAAAAUACUGAAUAAAUGUUUUAAAGAAAGUAAUACUAAGUGAAUAUCUGUUUUGGCCUUAAAAAUAAACAUUUUACCGAGUACUAUAAUUAAAUUGACUAAAUCAUGAUUGUCAAUGAACUCUCCUAAAAUAACAGAAACCACAUUAAGCUUCAUAAACAAACCGAUCCUUAAACACAUUUUUUCAACUUCCACCCAAAACAAAGACACAAUAUGACAAUACCAAAACAAAUGCAGGGUGGAUUCAGGCUCCUGACAACAAAAUCGGCAAUCAUCUGACUCUGUCAUAUUCCAUAAUUUUAACAUUUUCCCUGUGGGUAAGAAGUUAUAAAUAAUUUUAAUUUGAAAAUAACGAUUUUGCACAUCGAUAGUGGUUUUAGAGAUUAGUUUGAAUAUGGCAUCCCAUGGCAACGGGCAGUCAAAAAAGUCCUCCCAUUUUCCAUUUGUGUUGUAUGAGGCAGCCUUCAAAGAUUUCUUUAUUAAAUAAAAAUUAUAUAUUUUUCUAUUUAUUUUAGUUCCUUUUUGCCAACUAGAAUUUCUUAUUAGAGGUUUACAAACUAAUAAUUUAGUAGUUCCAUAAUUAAUUAUUUGUUUCCAUCUUUUCCCAAUUACUCCAGUUAGUUGAUAAAAUGAAAAGCUUGAGCAAGCAUCACCAUACAUAGCUCUAAAUUAAUCAUACUUCAUAAUUUUACCAUUCUCAUUGAUAAUAUUGACAAAAAUGAUUCCUCUUUCAAACAUAUUUUUCCAAAAGAAAGGCUUUCCAUCUAUUACAAUAUUAGAGUUCAUCCAUAUUGACUGCUGCAAAAUAUUGUCUCUUUUUUCUGGCACAUAAAAUUGAAAACACCACUAUGAGUGGAUUGUUUCCUUUAUGAACCCCGCCAUGUUUCCCAGCAGACUCUCUGGAAGGGGAUCACUUGUAAAAAAGGAUACAAUUUCUUUUGAUACAGUACAUGUUUUUUGUCCAACAGGACAUUUGUGUACCACUCAAUGUUUAAAUACAUCUUUGGAACAAUUGAUGCUUUUAAAGAGACACAUAGCUUCAAGGUUGAGAAGUUUCAGGCCCCCAUAUUCAUACUCUUUGUACAAAACCUUUCUUUUAAUCUUUUCUGGUUUGCCGUUCCAGACAAAAUCGAAGACCCUCCGCUCAUAAAUCUUAAAAAAGUUUUGUGAUGGAGCUGGUAAUGACAAAAACAAAUAAAUAAAUUGAGGAAUAAUUAACGAGUUGGCAAUAGACAUUUUACCAUACAAGGUUAGGGAUUUCCCUUUCCAUAAUUGCAUAAUUUUGUCCAGCUUUCUUAGUCGAUUAUCAUAAUUUACUGAGCCUAGAUCUUCCAGAUUUUCUGGGACAACAACACCAAGUAUGUUAA
This is a long non-coding RNA of Entelurus aequoreus (snake pipefish), 2519 nucleotides long. RefSeq lists it as uncharacterized. Lineage: Eukaryota; Metazoa; Chordata; Actinopteri; Syngnathiformes; Syngnathidae. The transcript has 3 exons. The record is from RefSeq and is a predicted model, not a curated record.